Non-coding RNA from Paramuricea clavata, 346 nucleotides. Lineage: Eukaryota; Metazoa; Cnidaria; Anthozoa; Malacalcyonacea; Plexauridae. The record is from the annotation of a GenBank genome assembly.
CAGUGGCGUAACGUUAUAUCAGGGGGCCCCCGGUUCAAAAUUUUCGAAGGCCCCCCCCUAGUAAGAAGUGCCAAAGGCACGAGUCGAGCGCCAUAUAUGUACGAGUAUUCUAGGGGGUCCAGGGCAUGCUCAUCCGGAAAAUUUUUGAAUCUAGACUCUCUGAAAUGCCAUUUCCUGGACUUUGGGGGAGAGAUUUUACAGAAUUCUGAUGGUCGUAAAACGACAUUGUAACAUAUCAGAGGCCCUGACCAAUGUUUUUGCUCUAUCGCCUAAGCCUGGGGGCCCCCAUUUAGGUUGGGGGCCCCCGGGUUCUCCCGGUCUGAGCCCAUAGUAGUUACGCCACUGA